AUUGAACGCUGGCGGCAUGCUUACACAUGCAAGUCGAACGGCAGCACGGGAGCAAUCCUGGUGGCGAGUGGCGAACGGGUGAGUAAUACAUCGGAACGUGCCCAAUCGUGGGGGAUAACGCAGCGAAAGCUGUGCUAAUACCGCAUGAGAUCUACGGAUGAAAGCAGGGGACCGCAAGGCCUUGCGCGAAUGGAGCGGCCGAUGGCAGAUUAGGUAGUUGGUGAGGUAAAGGCUCACCAAGCCUGCGAUCUGUAGCUGGUCUGAGAGGACGACCAGCCACACUGGGACUGAGACACAGCCCAGACUCCUACGGGAGGCAGCAGUGGGGAAUUUUGGACAAUGGGCGCAAGCCUGAUCCAGCCAUGCCGCGUGCAGGAUGAAGGCCUUCGGGUUGUAAACUGCUUUUGUACGGAACGAAAAGGCUUUCUCUAAUAAAGGGGGCUCAUGACGGUACCGUAAGAAUAAGCACCGGCUAACUACGUGCCAGCAGCCGCGGUAAUACGUAGGGUGCAAGCGUUAAUCGGAAUUACUGGGCGUAAAGCGUGCGCAGGCGGUGAUGUAAGACAGCUGUGAAAUCCCCGGGCUCAACCUGGGAACUGCAUCUGUGACUGCAUCGCUGGAGUGCGGCAGAGGGGGAUGGAAUUCCGCGUGUACCAGUGAAAUGCGUAGAUAUGCGGAGGAACACCGAUGGCGAAGGCAAUCCCCUGGGCCUGCACUGACGCUCAUGCACGAAAGCGUGGGGAGCAAACAGGAUAAUCCCGCGGCCAUGGCGGCCGGGAGCAUGCGACGUCGGGCCUC
This 798-nucleotide ribosomal RNA is filed under the name uncultured bacterium. RNAcentral describes it as "bacterial SSU rRNA". It matches the Rfam family "Bacterial small subunit ribosomal RNA", at positions 28 to 789 of the family's 1533-position model. The record is from RNAcentral.